RNAcentral lists this ribosomal RNA (459 nucleotides) under uncultured Methanolinea sp. RNAcentral describes it as "bacterial SSU rRNA". It matches the Rfam family "Archaeal small subunit ribosomal RNA", at positions 878 to 1338 of the family's 1478-position model. The record is from RNAcentral. Lineage: Archaea; Methanobacteriati; Methanobacteriota; Methanomicrobia; Methanomicrobiales; Methanoregulaceae.
ACCACAACGGGUGGAGCUGCGGUUUAAUUGGACUCAACGCCGGGCAGCUCACCGGAUAAGACAGCUGGAUGAUAGCCGGGCUGAAGACUCUGCCUGACUAGCUGAGAGGAGGUGCAUGGCCGUCGUCAGUUCGUACUGUGAAGCAUCCUGUUAAGUCAGGCAACGAGCGAGACCCACGCCAACAGUUGCCAGCAUGUCCUCCGGGAUGAUGGGGACACUGUUGGGACCGCCUCUGCUAAAGAGGAGGAAGGAAUGGGCAACGGUAGGUCAGCAUGCCCCGAAUUAUCCGGGCUACACGCGGGCUACAAUGGUCAGGACAAUGGGUAUCGACACCGAGAGGUGGAGGCAAUCUCGAAACCCAAUCGUAGUUCGGAUUGAGGGUUGUAACUCACCCUCAUGAAGCUGGAUUCCGUAGUAAUCGCUUGUCAACAUCAAGCGGUGAAUAUGCCCCUGCUCCUU